UCGUUCGACACUGUAGGACUACUAUUGUACUCAAAAGAGGGCGCAGUAGAGUGAGUAGACUAGAAAAUGGCGGAUAAUGAUGACUUGGAACUUGACUCAGAAGGGAACACGGGGACCACACUGAGUCCUUCUGUGAGAAAGAAUAUUUCUCUCAAACUAAAGGGAAAAGGAAGAGGUAGAGGUCGAAAAGGAACAAGAGUAAGAAAAGUUUUAGGUAAAAAAUGUGGUGGUGGUGGUGGAACCAUUUCAGUAGGUGAAGAGGAGGAGGAAGAAGAGAAUGACAUGAAAGCGGGGGAGGAGGAAAUUUCAAAUGCUAAAUAUAAUCUUGAUGAAGACAUCUCUAAACUUGAAACACCAACUUUCACUACUAUCAGUAGAGGACCUGCAGAACCCCUUCAUCAGAACAAGCAGUUGCAUUGGAAUCAUAAAAUCAAUCUGAUUGGAGAAAAGGUAGUCAAUCCUAUGAUCCAUUGUUGUGAAAAAUGUGCUGUUCCCAUUUUGAUUUAUGGGAGAAUGAUACCAUGCAAGCAUGUAUUCUGCUAUGAUUGUGCCAAAAAAGCAGAGAAAAUAUGCCCAAGGUGUUUUGAUAAAGUACAGCGUGUUGAGCAAAGUGCUUUAGGUACAGUAUUUAUGUGUACGUACAGAGGAACACGUCACGGUAAUGGAGGCUGUCGUAGAACUUACCUUAGCCAGCGAGAUCUUCAGGCACAUAUCAGCCAUAGGCAUCUUAGACCUCCAGCAGCUCCAGCUCCAGUUAUUUCUACAACAGUCCCUGUGCCCACACAGAUGGCACCACCUACAAUAGCAGCUCCAGCUAUUACUGCUACAUCUAUGAUUCAUGCCUCAUCUCAUCUUGAUAUUCGAGCACUCGGCUCCACUGAUCACACUCAUACACCCCCACACAUGCCUCAAGUUUCUCAACCUCAGCAUCCUCAUCCUCACCCUUUGCCAGCCCAGCAAGAUUACAGAGAUCCUAAUGAGCCACCUCGUAACCAGGUUCCUGUUCCUAUCCCUACACCAGUUCCACCUCCACGAACAUCCCACCCCUACCCACAUCCUACAACAACCAUGGGGCACCAUCCCCAUGCAUCAUACUCAAGCCCAAUCCCUAUUGUCACCACCCGUUCGAACUUGAUCACAGUACCUAUUCAAGAUGAUAGCAAUACACCAGGGAUUUCACCACUUCAGCAACUUCCACCUCCUCCUGCUCCAGCUCCUCAACCACCACCCAUCCAACAGCAUCCCACACCUCCUAGUCCCUAUCCUCCUCCUCAUCAUCAUUACCAACAUCCUCCUCCACCAGCCCCUAACCCAUCACCUUAUUCCCAACCACCACAACCAGCUUAUGCAUCACCUCCAACCCAAAAUUUUAGUCAGUCAGGUCCGUUGCCUACUCAUCUUCCUCCGCCUCCCAUUCACCAGUCUAAUCCCCCUAUGUUUUCUGCACCUCCUCCCCCUGUGCACCACAACCCCCCACCUACAUACUCUACACCACCUCCACAUACACUGCCCCCACCACCACAACAGUAUCCACCUUCCUCACACUACAAAGAAUCAGGGUCAUAUUGCCAGCCAUGGGGUUCAGGUCCCCCUCCCGCUAGAGCUCCACUUCAUCCUCGUCCCAUGAGUAGACCCCCAGGGAAUCCUAACAUAGGGAUGCCACAACCACAUGGCUCAGCCGACCCAAAAUAUAGACAUCCAUACUACUAGGGCAUAAUUUUUGCCAUAAAAAUUGAUGAACUUAAACUGAAUUGAAUGCUUGCAACUUCUGGUUUGUAAAAUAGUGGACUUUGUUGUCAAUUCAUAAUACUACUUUCAUUUAUGUUUAUGUAUCAACUUGUAUAAAACUGGCUUUCAUUUUGACUUUACAAUAUCAUCUUUAAACUUAACAUAAAAUCAGUCAAAUAGUUGUACAUGUCAUUUUUCUGUUUAAGCUUGAUUUAUCUUUAUUAAUUUGUCUUGUUGUUGAAAAAGAAUUAACAUUAGCUUUGUCUGAAGGUUCUUGUAAAUAUGUUCACAUAAAUAUAACAGAUUUGUUAGAACAAAGUUCAUUAAAAUAUUAUUUUGAAAGCAUAUUAAGUUUAAAUUGUUUGGUUAAUACUAUGCAUAAAUUUUUCCUUAAAAAUAUUCUCUGACAUUCUAUAAUGUGACCAUAGUGUAAUACAUGUUUUGAAAAUAUUAUAGUCAUUAUUCAUAUUGGUAUGUUCUAUAUAUAAAAGGUCAGAGAAUACUUAAAACCAUAAUCUGAGCAGUAUAAUAAGUUUCUUAUAGAUGUAACAAUAAAGCUGUUAGUCAAAAGCAAUCUGUAUAAAAUCAGAAUAUAUAAUUGCUAUUGUAGUAUUUCUGUAAGGAUUUUUUUUCCCUUCUUUCCCUUGAUCAAAUGGACAGUAGUGAUCACUGAUCUAUAUAUAUAUAACCUGGAUCAUGCUCUCUCUGUCUGCCAUGUUACUAUUCCCAAAACAAUCACACGUGUUACAGGUGUAUGAAGCUGCUCUGUAUUGAUCACAUACAGGCUAGGUUUACUGAUGCUCUGGAGUGGAUUGAACAAGAAAUACAAAGCCCAUGUUUCACCAUUUUCUAUAAAUGUAUCGAUGCGCUGGUUUGCAGAUUGAGUUAUUUGAAUUUUUAUUGUUGUAUCAGCUAUGGAACUAACCUAUACUGGUAUUUUAAAUUAGAUUUUAAUGCAUAACCCUCUCAUAAAAUUAACAGACUAGCUUAUUUGACCUGUCUGUAUUCUGUAACAGAUGGAACUUAUUAAAGUUUUAUUAUCCAAUGUUAUUGUAUGUCAUAAUUAUAGUAUGACAGCAAGUAUUUUUUAUAUUUAUAUGAAAGCUUUAUGAAUGAAUACACAUCAAAUUCUUUUGAUAUAUAUAUAUAUAACAACAUAGUGCCGAACAUCUACAAGGUCUACAGGUAAUACAAGCAACACUAAACUGAACCGUCCAUGUACAUGAUCAAAAUGAUUCAAGUAAAGUAUCUUCUCAACAAAUGUGAAAAUUAUGGAAAUACAAUGCAAGACAUCAACAUUAUGUGCAUGUACAUAUUACUUGCUGUUGUGUUGGUGUCAUUGUAAUUAGUCAGGCCUAUCAGCCCAGACCUACUUGUAAACUAUUGAAGAACAAUGAAUGAAAAUAUAUAGAAUGACUAUGGAUAAUUUUAAGCAUCAUCAUUAUAAUUUGUGUAAAUUACAUUUAUAUGAGAGAAACAAUUACUCAAAAUGUCAUUAACUUACAUGACAAUAAAUGAAUAUUUAACACAUUCACAUGAUAUGAUAUUCACAAUAACACAUCUAUGAAAAAAAAUUGUGUUCAGAAAAAAAACCUUUACAAACAUAAGAUUUCAUGAUUAUUAUAGAUGAACCAAACAAUAGAAUAUAAAAUGUAAACAAUUCCAUUCUACCAUAACAUAUUAUCUGGUGUUGUUUUCAUUUUCACUGGUGUUUAAACAAUGCUAACUUUGAAAACUGCAUCCACACCUUAUCACCAGUAAUUUUUUCUGUGUACGUUCUAGCAAUAUUAUGCAUCCUUAUUUUUCAGUAACAGGAUGACAUACAUUUUAUGACCUUGAAUACAUGGUUAUUCUCUGGUGUCUUAUCAAACAUAUGAUCUGACAAAGGGUUGAAGACUGUAGCACAUGAUAGUUGGUGUAGGACCACAUUUGAUGCUUGUAAUGGUUUACCAUCAUUCAUCUUCAGUACCUGUUGAAACAUUUCUCCGUCUCCUUACACACCUUGAUAAUACUGUAGGAAGCUCUUGUCAAUCCACCUCUAUCUUUUCAAUCCAGAAGGAAUAACUUUGGUGUAGAUUUCAUGUCAAUUUCAUUUUCAGCAUACAGAGCUGCUAUCAAAUAGAGCACUGAAUACAACGUUGGGCUGUGGUAGUGACAUAACCUGCGAUAUAUCCUAUAGAAGCUUCCUUUAAAGUUGAGAGAGGACUGAAGAUAAGAGCUUCUGUUACUUCAUGAUCAUCUUCCUCUUCUGUUGCAGAUAACUCCAAACCAUACUGCUUUGCUGUUGGCACAUCAUAUGUACCUGUCUCAGUGUUGUGCAUCAUCUGUGGUGACAUUGUGUAUACUAGUAUUAUCUGGUGCUAUGCAAUUACCAUGGGAACUCUUGACUUUGUGUCUCAUCAGAAGGCAUUUGUAGGCAAUAACAAACUGGCGAACCUUUGGGUUGUUAAAUUCUCCUGUGGGUCGAACUGCCCCAUAGAAAAGCUGGCUCAUCUUGUAUGUCAGUAGGUACUUCGAUGGAGCUUUGGUGUCCUCUACCAACUCAUUGUACAGGGUAGUUACAUUAAGAACUGCAGUCAUAAAACCGAUGAAUGGGGUCUUUCUUUUGAUGCUCAUCAUGCACUCUCCAGUCAAGUCCUUCAACUGGGAUAUGUAGGCAUAAGCAACAUCUAGGAAAGGAGCCCAAAUCUGUACAUUGGAGGGCCUCAUUGGCAUAUUGUAACCUUUUGCAAUUGGAUUUCUUGAGUUUAGGAUGUCAAAGAGCUUUUCUUGCAUUGUGAACAUAUUACACAUGAAUGGGACUUAACGAGCUUUAUUAACAUAAAGUUUACUUGCAGGUGAAAAGACUUGUCUGUUAGUACAAUUCAAUGCUUUGCAUUUAGGCAUGAUUCAAAGAAAACAAAACAAUGUCUAAGCGAAACAAUUUAUUUGCAUGUGAUAAUAGCCACCAUGGGAUUUGUUUUGGGAAUGGUUUAAUGGCUGCUGAACUGUAUCAUGUGACCUCAUUGUCAGGAGCUAGAAGCACAAUCCAGGUCACUUAUAGAUCAAUGACUGUUAUGCUACAUUAUAAAUGGUUUUAAUAAUCUGUAUCUUAUUUUCUGUUAAAUCAUAGUUUUAACAUUUUAGGAAAUGUGACAAGAAAAGACUUUUGAAAUAUUUUGUGAAUGUGAACCUAAAGGUCAUACUUAAUAUAUAAAUGAGAGUUGAAACUUGAAACCAACUUUAUUUCAGUACCUGUAACUACAUCCUAUCAUUUCUGAGCCAUAUACCUAGCACAACCAAGCUUUAGGUUUUAAGGUUAGAGAUACUUGGAAUUCAUUAUGCUGCUGAACAAAGUCCACUCUUUCAGUUUGAAUUGUUAUAACUGUGAUAGUCAUCUCAUUGUUUGGGUAAGAAUAGUUGCUGAAAUGGUAGAUGUUGCUGACUGGUUGCCCUUUCUCUUGGUCAGCAGUUCUAAAUUUGGGGUGGCUGUGUGUGUAAAAUAUACUAUAUGGUCUUUUUUUGCUUUUUGUUUUUAAGUUUGAGAAGAUGAACAAGUAUUUUACACUUACAUGCAUUUCAAGUGCUUACUAUGUUCAAUGUGUGUAUAUACCAGUUGCAACCUUAUUCUUACGUUCAUUCGUCUUCAGUAUUACUGAACUCUCCAACAACAGGAGUUGCUGGAUAGUUCCUUAAUCAUACACUAAUGUGUUCUCUAGUGACAUCAGUCGUGUAGAUGUUUAGGAAUACCUGGUAGCUGUGUCCUUACUAUUUUUAUGUUUGAUAUGAAAGUAAUAAUUUCAAACUGGAAAAAUUGAUCCUAUUGUAAGAAGUAUAUAAUGGUUAAUUCUCUCAGUCUUAUCCAGAACUUUUCCAGAUUCAACUAGUGCUUUAAACAGAUAGAGGAGUGCUGUCUCUUACUUUGUGCACACAUUGAUUGUAUUUUAUUGGUUUGUUCUCUUGUGUAUCAGAAUUAAUAAACAUUAUUUUGUGUUAUUGUAAA
This 5710-nucleotide unclassified non-coding RNA is filed under the name Limulus polyphemus (Atlantic horseshoe crab). Its description in RNAcentral is "e3 ubiquitin-protein ligase Hakai-like, transcript variant X3". The record is from RNAcentral. Lineage: Eukaryota; Metazoa; Arthropoda; Merostomata; Xiphosura; Limulidae.